MicroRNA precursor from Oryza rufipogon (brownbeard rice), 207 nucleotides. It matches the Rfam family "MIR812 microRNA precursor family". The record is from Rfam. Lineage: Eukaryota; Viridiplantae; Streptophyta; Magnoliopsida; Poales; Poaceae.
AAUAAGUGCAAUUUUGCAUAGUUCAUGUUCAACGUUUGACCGUUCGUCUUAUUUAAAAAUUUUUUAUGGUUAGUAUUUUUAUUGUUAUUAGAUGGUAAAACAUGAAUAAUACUUUAUGUGUAACUAUUUUUUAAUAUUUUUUUAUAUUUUUUUUCAAAUAAGACAGAUGGUCAACGUUGGACACGUAUAUCCACGGCCGCACUUAUU